RNAcentral lists this transfer RNA (75 nucleotides) under Alphaproteobacteria bacterium 65-37. RNAcentral's name for it is "tRNA-Gln". It matches the Rfam family "tRNA". Rfam says of the family: Transfer RNA (tRNA) molecules are approximately 80 nucleotides in length. Lineage: Bacteria; Pseudomonadati; Pseudomonadota; Alphaproteobacteria. The record is from RNAcentral.
UGGGGCGUAGCCAAGCGGUAAGGCAGAGGAUUUUGAUUCCUCCAUCCCCAGGUUCGAAUCCUGGCGCCCCAGCCA